AUGCAAGUCGUACGAAGAGCUUCUAGCUCAAGUGGCGGACGGGUGAGUAACACGCAGAAUUUACCUUUAGGAGGGGGACAACAGUUGGAAACGACUGCUAACACCCCAUAUGCUUUAUAGUGAAACGGUUUUUCCGCCUAAAGAGAAGCUUGCGGCUGAUUAGCUUGUUGGUAGGGUAAUAGCCUACCAAGGCGACGAUCAGUAUCUGGUUUGAGAGGAUGAUCAGACACACUGGAACUGAGACACGGUCCAGACUCCUACGGGAGGCAGCAGUAGGGAAUUUUCCGCAAUGGGCGAAAGCCUGACGGAGCAAUACCGCGUGAGGGAUGACUGCCUAUGGGUUGUAAACCUCUUUUUUCAGGGAGGAAUCAAUGACGUGUACCUGAAGAAUAAGCAUCGGCUAACUCCGUGCCAGCAGCCGCGGUAAGACGGAGGAUGCAAGUGUUAUCCGGAAUCACUGGGCGUAAAGCGUCUGUAGGUGGUUAAAUAAGUCAACUGUUAAAUCUUGGAGCUCAACUUCAAAAUCGCAGUCGAAACUAUUAGACUAGAGUAUAGUAGGGGUAAAGGGAAUUUCCAGUGGAGCGGUGAAAUGCGUAGAGAUUGGAAAGAACACCGAUGGCGAAGGCACUUUACUGGGCUAUUACUGACACUCAGAGACGAAAGCUAGGGUAGCAAAUGGGA
RNAcentral lists this ribosomal RNA (681 nucleotides) under uncultured bacterium. RNAcentral describes it as "bacterial SSU rRNA". It matches the Rfam family "Bacterial small subunit ribosomal RNA", at positions 55 to 777 of the family's 1533-position model. The record is from RNAcentral.